This is a long non-coding RNA of Cercocebus atys (sooty mangabey), 625 nucleotides long. RefSeq lists it as uncharacterized. The record is from RefSeq and is a predicted model, not a curated record. NCBI's taxonomy places the organism in Eukaryota, Metazoa, Chordata, Mammalia, Primates, Cercopithecidae. The transcript is spliced from 3 exons.
CCAAGAAAAUAAAGGCGAUCUAUUUGAGGAAGUGAUUCCAAGAAAAAGGAAGUGAUCACAAGAAAAGGGAAGAGAUCACAAGAAAAGGGAAGAGAUCAUAAGAAAGGUGAACAGUGAAACGAAAAGAGAAGAAAGUACAAGGAUAUGUCACCCUGUCUAUUUGCCUGUGACUAAACCCAUGUAACCUGAUUGGCCUCCUAAAACCCUUUCAUCUAAUCUACUCAUCGAGAUUCUUCUUCUCCUUCAAAUGAAUCCCCAGUUUAAUCUUCAGAUGGGCUGAGUAAUCAAUGGUUCAGAAAGAAAUAUUCAAAAGGAGCCAUACAACAGAAAGUGGUGUACAUCAGAAUCUUUAAGAGCUUUUAUUAGGAUGCUCUCAUGGAUGAUGGUGGGAGAGGGAGUAGAAAAGAAAGAGGAAAGGCAGAGAGGUAUAGAAGGAGAGAGGGAAAAACAGAGGCUACCAGUUAGAGAAACAUAUCGCAUGUUUUGAAAAAGAAGAGAGAUCAUUUUAAGCUUAUGGGUAAAAGACACAGGUAAGAUACAAUUUUAACAUCUUUUCCUUCUACAACCAUUGUCUAGUCUAGAAUAAAGCCUGAAAGUCUAAAGUUUGUCAUGUCUAGCAAAAAAA